UUUCCGUAGGUGAACCUGCGGAAGGAUCAUUAUCAGGUGGAGCAGGCCUCGCGCUUGCACCUCCCUCCCUUUGUAUAUCGUCAACCGUUGCUCGAGCCGGUGGUCCCCGGGCCCCGGCGAGAGACCACAACCACGCUGUUCUGGAUCGUCUGAGUAAACAUACAAUAGAAUAAAACUUUCAACAACGGAUCUCUUGGUUCCGGCAUCGAUGAAGAACGCAGC
This 222-nucleotide unclassified non-coding RNA is filed under the name uncultured fungus. RNAcentral's name for it is "sequence contains ITS1, 5.8S rRNA gene". The stretch from base 174 to 222 matches the Rfam family "5.8S ribosomal RNA", at positions 1 to 49 of the family's 154-position model. The record is from RNAcentral. Lineage: Eukaryota; Fungi.